AAUUGCAUUGCCCUUACGAAAAUCAAUUGGUCAUGAGGUUAUUUACCUUAAGCUAACGUGUUUACUUGCAAUAUGUUAUAUACCAUAGGGACUUCAAGAAAAGGACCAAAAAUGUUUGCUUACAUUAAACAUGAAUCAAAACAGAUUAUGUUUGCAAACGAAUCACCGGUGGCGACAAAACAGAUUUUAUGUUUUGGUAGUAAAUCUACAAGUAAGUGAUGAUAGAUUUUCAAUUACACAUGUAAAUUUGAGAUGUGCAUUAGCAGAUAUCACUGAGGUAUCAGUUUCUGUGACCUUCAGGGUUAUUGCAAAUAAAAUUUAAAAUGGGCGUUAUAAUUUUAUUGCAUGCUUACUUAUAAUAAACAUUUAUGUAAGGUCCAUUUUAUGUAUGUUAUCUUAUUUGACAUUUCCGUAUUUUUGUAAAAAAUUGUAAGCGGGACCAGUUCAUUGAAUAGUUUGGAAUAUAAAAUAUGCAUGUUGAAACAUAAUAUGUGGUGGAAAAAAUAAUUCCAUUUAAAUUUCAUAGGUAGUAGACUUCAAAUAUGCUAUAAAUUACCCAUUUUUGCGAUUUCAAAUGUCAUUUUUGUUAUCAAAACUUACCUAAUACAUGGUUUAUUUUGCAAAACAAAUUAACCAAUAAACUACCGCAUGGAUAUUAAUUAUACUAACGAUGCAGUGGCAGACCAUUUUAAAAGUUAUUGUACCCAGACCAUUGGCGGUAUGAGUUAAUUCUUAUAUUUGAUAAAACAGACAAUUCUUUUAAUAGAAGUAAUAAUAUAUUACUUACUAUAUGUAAGAUUCGAAUCAAGUCUGCUAUAAUUGCUGAACAAGCAAGAGAAAGUAUAGAUGAAAAACAUCUUGCUUUUAAUUAUGAGUUAUACAUGAAGCAUGUGAAAAAGUUGCAUUAAUGUAUGCCAUCACGAGCACAAAGAACUAUCAAAUAAUAGCAUAUAAUAAAAAAGAAAGAACAACAACUUAAAAGAUCCUUUAAAGUAGUUUUUUACAAAAAAAGGUACAAAGACGAUACAUUGGAUUGCAACUCGCCUGCUAAUCAGUUGAUAUACAAUAGUAAAUUGUGUACAGAGACGAUCUCACUAUAGUAAAUGAUAACAAGGUAUGGUGUGAACAAUUUAACGUUUUAAACAUCAUUUUACAUGAUAACCAUCAGAUUAUUUGCCUAAAAGAUAACACGUUAACUUCAAGCAAAUCGUUAUCUUCUUGAAUUGUAAUUGAAAUAUCAAAUCGUUUACUGCUUCAACAACCCAGCCAAAGUCACAACGCCAUCAACUAGCGGUCAAUCUGACACAUCAUCAAAGAAGUCAUCACAAGAGUCCUCAACUACAGUAAUAGCGUCUGCAGUAACGGUUGCAGUUGUUCUAAGUUCAGCUCUUGUGAUCGUUAUUGUGCUCAGAAACAAAGGGAAAUUGUGCUUCGCCAUAACAAAAGGUUUACAAUUGGAAAACACAGAUGACAGCAACCGUAUAUCCUUAGCAAAGAUUGAAUCCAAAACAAAUGAGAACUCCCAAAGCCCAGAGGCAUAUUUGUACAAUAAGAAUACACGUGGUUGCACGAAGGACAUUGAUGAAUAUGCCGAUAUUGACAACGAUACUGCGAAUUUUAAGUGCAAUGAAACCGGUUUCUAUCAAACUCCAUGUGCCCCUAUGAUGAAUCAUACUUAUCAAGAGAUACACGCGAAUGACGAAUACGCCGGAAUUGAUGACGUUCGAGGGGACAACGACGAUUACGAUUACACUAACAAAGCAUUUAGGGAUGAAAAAGCUGAGUCUUCAGACAACGUUUACAGUCAUCUAAACUCUGGUGGUGACGAGUAUGAUCAUGUGCACAGAGGCCAAAACAUCGUCAAGGUGGUGGAACAUGACUAUGUCGAAAACUCCGGUGUCGUUAGAAACUAAGCAUUACAACGUACACGUUUGAUAAAGACAACUUCCUGCAUAAUUAUAAUAUAUUGUAGAUAAAGUCAAUAUGAUUUCAUAUUGUGUGAGUAAUGUGACGUUUCAAUCAUUUUUUAGAAGACUAAACAUAUUCUCUUUAGUAGUUGUGUAUCAACUUGUGUUUUGUAUUUGUUUGUGUUUUCAUUAUUUUAUUUCGCAGUCACAUUAACUUGCCAUAUUUUUUAUUUUACACUGAUUACUCAUUAUAACAUUUAUUCAUCUAAUAUGUCCAUAUGUCUUCUCAUUUCUGAGUAAGAAGUUUAAGUAAUAGCUAUAAUGUCAAAUAUUUCCGUUAUAGACAUUAUUUGUAACGAAUUAUAAAGUGGUAUAUAUUAUCAAUAUUAUCAAACAUGUUAGUUUAAAAGCCCUGUACGUAUGCGUUUAAUUAUAAUCGCUAACUUUACUCGUUUGUUGGGUUUUCACAUAUAAGGUGAACUCGUUAUUAUAACCAAAUGUAUCAUCUGGAUGUUUUGUUGUAACUUUAUAAACAAAUAAAUAAGUUAAGGAUU
This is a long non-coding RNA of Dreissena polymorpha, 2461 nucleotides long. RefSeq lists it as uncharacterized. NCBI's taxonomy places the organism in Eukaryota, Metazoa, Mollusca, Bivalvia, Myida, Dreissenidae. The transcript has 3 exons. The record is from RefSeq and is a predicted model, not a curated record.